Non-coding RNA from Vicugna pacos (alpaca), 1611 nucleotides. The record is from RefSeq and is a predicted model, not a curated record. Lineage: Eukaryota; Metazoa; Chordata; Mammalia; Artiodactyla; Camelidae.
CUUGCCCUUCUUCUCACGCUGCUGGAACUUGCGCAGCCGCCGCGCCCACGUGUCCCGCCACUGGAUCACCAGACUGCUCUUGUCCGCCACGAUGCCGCUCUGGUCGGGCGAGUCCUCCGCGUUGCCCAGCAGCAGCUGUUCCUGGGCAUCCUGAACUUUGCACUCCAAUCUGAGGGCUCCAAAGAACGGCUGCCAUGGCAACCGUUUCCAUGUUUUUGUCACCAAGGGACUCAACAGUCUGAACUCUGAGGUGGGGGCGGUGGGGAGCCCUCCAGCCCCGAGCAGUAGCUAAGCUGUGUGUUUGACAGUGCAGACGGAGGUCACCGUGGCAACUGAAUGCCCCUCAGCGAAGCAAAGGGGGAGCCACCUCCAGCAUCCCUGAGGGCCCCGGUUUCCUCUCCUCAGGACUGAGCUGAAUACAGAAUGAGCCUCCCCUAGGAUGCAGCUGUUUCCCUGCGUGGGACCUCAGACCUCUGGCCCAGCUGCAGAGCCCCCCAGCCAGAGUGGCCAGGGGUGGCCCCAGAAGGCUGCUGUAGGAGGCCUCUCCGCCUAGGGCCCCUGAAGAAUGUGGCUUUGAUCAGCGGUGGUAGCUGAACUGUGUAUCCCUACCCCGACCCCUGCACAUUCAUAUGUGAAGUCCUGAUCCCCAGAAGAGCGUCUUUAAGGGAUAGUUACAAUGAAGUUAUUGGGGUGGGCCCUAAUCCGAUAGGGCUGAUGUCCUCAUGAUAAGAGACUAUAACACAGACAUGUGGAGGGAAGACCGUGUGAAGACACAGCAAGAAGACAGCCAUCUCCAUGCCAAGGAGAGAGGCCAGAGAGGCCACAAGCCUGAGGGCACCCUGACCUAGGACUGCCAACCCCCAAGACCGGGAAGAAAGAAACUCCCGUUGUCUGGGCCCCUCAGACUGUGUACUUGGUUCUGGCAGCGUAAACAAACUCAUGCAACUGGACUCGCAGACUCCAGACCUUGGGCCUCAGCUCAGGGCUAGCUGGGAAGAGCUGGGAAGACAGACCUGGGCGGGGGUCUUCCCAGCUGUGCUGACAAGAGGGCAGAAAGAGCGGGCUGGAGCAGGUCUGGCUCUCCAGGCCCCCAAGGGGAACUUCUUACUCCCUGGACCUGCAGGAAUGUGGCCCUUCACAGUAGGAGGACUGGAGACCUCUGUCCCCCCUUUCCUGGAGCUCCCCCACCACCCAUAAUGCCCUGGAACACCAGGCAGGGCAUCCAUGGCUGCCCCCACCUCCCCUUCCCUGGCCAGCACCAGCCUGAAGGGGGCCCACUUCACACCAAGGAUGCAACCCGAAGGGGUACCGGCUCUGGGAUACCUUGCCAUCCUCAAGGAUCCAGGGGCAGAGCACAGGACACAGGUCCAUCAGGACAAAGCACUGGUCCUUGUCCUCCUUCCAGCCCAGCAGCCCCCUGGCCACCAGGUGGGAUGGGACAGGACUGGGGGCAGUGGUGGGUGGUGGUAGUUCAUGUGAUCAUGCUGGAAAAAAUCCACGUUUCCGCUGCCCUUGGCAACGCCUCUGCAUAUUACACAGCCCACCAAGUAUGAGCUGCACACGCGGUGCACACACAGCUGAAAACAGUCAAAAUACACAUUGAAAGAGUGA